AGAGUUUGAUCAUGGCUCAGGAUGAACGCUAGCUACAGGCUUAACACAUGCAAGUCGAGGGGAAACGACAUCGAAAGCUUGCUUUUGAUGGGCGUCGACCGGCGUACGGGUGAGUAACGCGUAUCCAACCUGCCCACCACUUGGGGAUAACCUUGCGAAAGUAAGACUAAUACCCAAUGAUAUCUCUAGAAGACAUCUGAAAGAGAUUAAAGAUUUANCGGUGAUGGAUGGGGGAUGCGUCUGAUUAGCUUGUUGGCGGGGUAACGGCCCACCAAGGCAACGAUCAGUAGGGGUUCUGAGAGGAAGGUCCCCCACAUCGGAACUGAGACACGGUCCAAACUCCUACGGGAGGCAGCA
Molecule: ribosomal RNA, 357 nt
Filed under: uncultured bacterium
Lineage: Bacteria
Description: bacterial SSU rRNA
Rfam family: Bacterial small subunit ribosomal RNA
Source: RNAcentral